Molecule: ribosomal RNA, 471 nt
Filed under: uncultured bacterium
Lineage: Bacteria
Description: partial 16S ribosomal RNA
Rfam family: Bacterial small subunit ribosomal RNA
Source: RNAcentral
GACGAACGCUGGCGGCGUGCUUAACACAUGCAAGUCGAACGAUGAAGCCUAGCUUGCUAGGUGGAUUAGUGGCGAACGGGUGAGUAAUACGUGAGUAACCUACCUUUAACUCUGGGAUAAGCCUGGGAAACUGGGUCUAAUACCGGAUACGACCAAUCUCCGCAUGGGGUGUUGGUGGAAAGCGUUAUGUAGUGGUUAUAGAUGGGCUCACGGCCUAUCAGCUUGUUGGUGAGGUAACGGCUCACCAAGGCGACGACGGGUAGCCGGCCUGAGAGGGUGACCGGCCACGCUGGGACUGAGACACGGCCCAGACUCCUACGGGAGGCAGCAGUGGGGAAUAUUGCACAAUGGGCGCAAGCCUGAUGCAGCGACGCCGCGUGAGGGAUGACUGCCUUCGGGUUGUAAACCUCUGUUAGCAGGGAAGAAGAGAAAUUGACGGUACCUGCAGAGAAAGCGCCGGCUAACUACGUG